This 301-nucleotide ribosomal RNA is filed under the name uncultured bacterium. Its description in RNAcentral is "partial 16S ribosomal RNA". It matches the Rfam family "Bacterial small subunit ribosomal RNA", at positions 509 to 807 of the family's 1533-position model. The record is from RNAcentral.
CAGUCGCCGCGGUAAUACGUAGGUGGCAAGCGUUGUCCGGAAUUAUUGGGCGUAGAGCGCGCGCAGGUGGUUUAAUAAGUCUGAUGUGAAAGCCCACGGCUCAACCGUGGAGGGUCAUUGGAAACUGUUAAACUUGAGUGCAGGAGAGAAAAGUGGAAUUCCUAGUGUAGCGGUGAAAUGCGUGGAGAUGUGGAGGAACACCAGUGGCGAAGGCGACUCUCUGGUCUGUAACUGACGCUGAGGAGCGAAAGCGUGGGGAGCGAACAGGAUUAGAGACCCGAGUAGUCCCUGUCUCUUAUAC